CAUGCAAGUCGAGCGGCAGCGCGAGUAGUUUACUACUUGGCGGCGAGCGGCGGACGGCUGAGUAACGCGUGGGAACGUGCCCCAAAGUGAGGAAUAACUGCCCGAAAGGGUAGCUAAUGCCGCAUAUGAUCUUCGGAUUAAAGUAUUUAUUACGCUUUGGGAGCGGCCCGCGUCCGAUUAGAUAGUUGGUGAGGUAAAGGCUCACCAAGUCUACGAUCGGUAACUGGUCUGAGAGGAUGAUCAGUCAGACUGGAACUGAGACACGGUCCAGACUCCUACGGGAGGCAGCAGUGAGGAAUCUUCCACAAUGGACGAAAGUCUGAUGGAGCAACUCCGCGUGCAGGAUGAAGGCCUUCGGGUCGUAAACUGCUUUUAUGAGUGAAGAAUAUGACGGUAACUCAUGAAUAAGGGUCGGCUAACUACGUGCCAGCAGCCGCGGUCAUACGUAGGACCCAAGCGUUAUCCGGAGUGACUGGGCGUAAAGAGUUGCGUAGGUGGUUAGUAAAGUGAAUAGUGAAACCUGGUGGCUCAACCAUACAGACUAUUAUUCAAACUCACUAACUCGAGAGUGGUAGAGGUAACUGGAAUUUCUAGUGUAGGAGUGAAAUCCGUAGAUAUUAGAAGGAACACCAAUGGCGUANGCAGGUUACUGGACCAUUUCUGACACUGA
RNAcentral lists this ribosomal RNA (670 nucleotides) under uncultured bacterium. Its description in RNAcentral is "bacterial SSU rRNA". It matches the Rfam family "Bacterial small subunit ribosomal RNA", at positions 54 to 749 of the family's 1533-position model. The record is from RNAcentral.